RNAcentral lists this long non-coding RNA (228 nucleotides) under Durio zibethinus. Its description in RNAcentral is "long non-coding RNA (DZIB_LNC001286)". The record is from RNAcentral. Lineage: Eukaryota; Viridiplantae; Streptophyta; Magnoliopsida; Malvales; Malvaceae.
GCCAAUACAAAUUUUGACACGAUAUAAUUUGUCUUAUACGUGUUAACAAAUUUAAAUACAUGUAAGAUAUAAAAAACAUGUUAAAAUAAAAUAUAUCACACGAAUACACAUCUAAUACACGACAUGACACAAAAAAUAUAUUUAAUUUAAUCUUAUCAUAUGAGUACAAGUUUAAUAUGUUUAAACAUAUUUUUUACAUUUUUAAUUUAAUAUAAACACUUUUAUAUU